Long non-coding RNA from Haemorhous mexicanus (house finch), 3236 nucleotides. RefSeq lists it as uncharacterized. The record is from RefSeq and is a predicted model, not a curated record. Lineage: Eukaryota; Metazoa; Chordata; Aves; Passeriformes; Fringillidae. The transcript has 2 exons.
CUGCAGAAGGAAUUUGCCACCAUUGAAAAGAAGAAGGAAGAACUUGCAGAUUAUCUUUGUGAAGACCGAAAAAAACUGUCUUUGGAAGAUGUAUUCAGCACAAUGAAAACCUUCAGAGAGAUCUUCCUCAAGACUUUACAGGAAAAUCAAGAAAGGAAGGAACAAGCUGCAAAAGCUGAGAAAAGGAAGAAACAGUUUAAAAGAGAAGAUGCAAAGAGGCUAAAGGGAGAGUACGGAAAGUGUCAUACAUUUAGCAAUUAAUUAUUUUUAUUAGCUAAUCUUUUGUUAAUUUUAUUCAUCAACUCUGGCUGAUCUGGUACAAUGAGAGUGACUUAGCCAUGGAUGAUGUAGUUGUCCAAGAGAUGCAUAGUGAGACAUCAAUUAUCCAUUUUAAAGUGCAAGAGAAUGCUUGGAAGAAAUCAUGAUAGGGAUGUUAGAAAAAAAUACCACUACCAAUGAGCAAGUUUCUCCUACUUUGCUCAGAAGUGGAGGAUAUCCUGCUAUUGUUCUGAAUAGUUCUUGGGAGCCUUUUAGGGUUAUAGAAAGCUGCACACACUUGAACUCCAUGCAUCACAGUAGGCAAGUUGUGUCCAAUGUUAUUUUUACCACAACAUUUUCUUUCUUCUGAUCAGAGAUCUGGCUCCUUAAAGGAGUUAUGUCAGAUCUUAAAGAAGUGUCUGUGCUGAUUGAUGCAGAAAAGCACUUGAUAUGCUGGGCCUCCUUGGGUGUGAAGCAUGUCCAGUGCUAAUACUGGCAUGUGUAUACUUUAAUUUUUUAUUUUGGCAAAUACUUGGCAUCUACUUUUAUGGGAGAUUUCUGCCAAUAAUGUUUGGUUACAAUUCUUGGUUCUUCAGAGCACCUCUGCAAUGAAGCCAUCAGAAGCCACUCCAUCUGAGUGGAGUUCAUGUAAGUUUUAUGCUAGAUAUUCAGCCCUUGGAAGACUGCUGCUUUUUUUGUAUCUGGUGUCUAAAUAGAUGACCUCCUUUUAGAUCCUCUCUCACAGUUAUUCACUUUCAGAAAUACAUUUUUAAAAAACAUAAAAUCCAUUGAAAACUGACCAAAACAAAGUUUUCAAUAUUGUCUUGUCAAGUUCUACCACAAAUAUGUUUUACAUACUUUGCAAUCAUAACACAGUUAAUGUAAAGCUGCAGGUUAAAAUAAAAAAAACCCUUUUUGCUAUAAAUAUACAAAAGAGUAACCUAGUAUAUCAUAAAAUAAAACCAGGAAGCAACACUUAUCAGUUGUAAGAAUUAAAGGUGUGCUUCAGCCCUGUAAAGUAAAGGAGCACCAAACCAGAAGAACCUUCUGUAUUUCCAGGAGACAGUUUGGGUGGAACUGUCAUUAUUUUUGUUCCUUUGUGAGAACAAAGGUGAGGUGGAUUUAAUUAUUGGGGAGUAUAAACUUGAACACAAAGAGCAUUUAGAGUCUGAAUUAUUUUUCAGUACUGAUUUUAGAGAAUUGUGCAUAGCAGUGGUGACAAAGACAAUCAAGAACUUUUAAAAUCUAUUUUAAUCUCAAUCAGGGUAUGCUGACAAAAUCAGAGGGUAUUAGAUCUGGCAUGACAGGAUGCUGAAGCUCAUCUUAACAUUCUUCAUUCUAUGUAAAAUGGGGGUUUGGGGUUUUGCUAAUCAUACAAGCAAGUUAAGUAAUUAUUUUCUGAAGAAGGGAAUGAAAAGAGUAAAUCUGGUGAACCCCUAUCAGCCUGUGCUUACAGGAUUGUCAAGGCCUGGUUCCACAAAGAAUGAAGUAACCCUUUAACUUUGCAGGUAUCUCCUUUAAUGCCAGUGCCACACAGCACACAGGGCAAUCCUGUGCAGGGAUCUUUAAAGGUCCCAAUCCUGCAGUCUCCGAAUCUCUGACCUUAAGUCCAGUCACAUGCUCUGUCAGUGUGAAUAUCUGGUUUGUCCAGUUGUCUGAGGAUCAUUUCUCUGCAGCUGACAGAUCUGCCAGGGACAGCACACAGCAGCAAUGUCCCUUAGGGCCAGCAAUAACCUCGCUCUCUGGAUUUCAAACAGGAGAGUAAAGCCAGAAGCACCCAUUGCUGAUGUAUUUAGAGAUUACAAGUGAGGGCUUCAGCUGCUGAGAACAAAACUGAGUCAAAAAUUGCUAUCAAAAUUCAAGUGGAGGGUACUAUUUAGACAACUGAGCAAUAUCUUACUUGAUUCCAUAUAUUGAAAACAGCUUUUCUCUGAAUAAUAUUUAAGAUAAGAUUUCCAAAAUAAUUUGGUGACAGGCUCAUGCUGAUUCCAGGGACUCAGACAUUCUAGGGUUGUUUUUUUUUUUUUUUUUUACUUCAUCUGGACAUGUUUAUAUAUGUAUGUAUGUUGAUUUUUUUUUUCCCCAUACUUCAUAGUGAAUUAAGCAACUCCCCUGCUUUAUUUUCUUCAGCUUCUGUUGCAGUAUCUUUCAUUAUUUGGCAUUUAAAUUCUUCUGGAGAAUUCUAUCAGAUAAUUGCAAGGACUAUAUUAUAUAUGUUAUUUCAAAAAAAAUAACAUACAUUGUACAUAUGUUACUACAAGAGAAAUAACAGCUGGAGAAUUCUUUAGCUACUAACCAAGUAGAAAAAUUAGCUGCUUCUAAUGGAAAUAUGGGGAUACAGCUAAUGAUCAGAGUAAGCAACAGAACAAGAACACUUAAGAACUAAACAUGAAAAGAUGCAUUUAAAUAUCUGGUGAGAAUUUACAUAUGCCACUAUAAUACUGUAACUGCAGCAGAAAAUGAAAUGUUGUUUAAAAUAUAAAGAGCAGAUAAAUUUUUGAUGAACAGUACUGAAGUUCCAGAGCAUAACUGCAAUCAUUACCCACAGAAAGCAACUGCAAAAGCAGACUCCUAAUUCAAUUCCAUAUAUCCAAGGUCAAAUACAAGAGCUUUCCUCUGGCAAAAUUCUUAUUGUCUGUUUUUACACAGGACUUACUUGUUUGGCUGUAAGUAACAAGCUGAUAUAUGCAAAAAUGUCACCAACAUAAAUUGCUCUUGCAAUAGUAAAAGCAUCUAGUCUUCAAGAGCUGGGGAAAUCAGCUGAUAUUCUGCUGCUUAAAUCUUACUGGGUCACUGUUCUAUUGCUUGCUUUGGCUUUUAUAAAGCAUGUAAUAAUGAUUUAGAAACUGUGUGAAGGAUAAGUACAACUUUCAGUGCAGAGUUUACUUACAAUUGCAUUGUACUCUAGUAAGUAUUUGUAACCCAGGAUGUAUUUUACUUUUGUAUAUCUUCAUUUUAGUAAACUGAGCCAAACAAAA